Molecule: small RNA, 633 nt
Filed under: Pongo abelii (Sumatran orangutan)
Lineage: Eukaryota; Metazoa; Chordata; Mammalia; Primates; Hominidae
Description: processed transcript
Source: RNAcentral
GUUUUCACAACAGACAGUCCGGAGGAGCCACGGUGCUUGUGAGCAGUCGUGGGAAGGAAAGAGUCUCAGCUGUGCCACGGCACUGGGUGUGCCACUUGGGGAUUGAGGCUGAAGACCUGGAUAUCGUGAGCUCAGAGAAAUGAGGACAGUUGGAGCGGUGUGAGAGGUGCACACAGAUAACUCUGAGAUUUACAGUGCCGUCCCCCAGCUGAGUUGGUGAGGGAAGAGGCAGAAUGACAAGAAGUGUUACUUGGCAAACAAGACAUCUGUGCUGCUCCCGCCAGUCUAACAGCAUCGCUCCUGACUGAAGGCAGAACUUGCUCGUGCUCGCCAGCUGCAUGGAUAACAUUCCUGAGGCACUUCCUAUGGGGGCAAGUACUAAAGACAGUCUCUUUACCCAGAAAUACCCACCAGUAAAGUUUUUAUCAGAAAAGGAUCGGAAAAGAAUUUUGAUAACCGGAGGCGCAGGGUUCGUGGGCUCCCAUCUAACUGACAAACUCAUGAUGGACGGCCACGAGGUGACCGUGGUGGACAAUUUCUUCACGGGCAGGAAGAGAAACGUGGAGCACUGGAUUGGACAUGAGAACUUCGAGUUGAUUAACCACGACGUGGUGGAGCCCCUCUACAUCGAGG